Molecule: ribosomal RNA, 495 nt
Filed under: uncultured bacterium
Lineage: Bacteria
Description: partial 16S ribosomal RNA
Rfam family: Bacterial small subunit ribosomal RNA
Source: RNAcentral
GACGAACGCUGGCGGCGUGCCUAAUACAUGCAAGUAGAACGCUGAAGGAGGAGCUUGCUCUUCUGGAUGAGUUGCGAACGGGUGAGUAACGCGUAGGUAACCUGCCUGGUAGCGGGGGAUAACUAUUGGAAACGAUAGCUAAUACCGCAUAACAGUAGAUGUUGCAUGACAUUUACUUAAAAGGUGCAAUUGCAUCACUACCAGAUGGACCUGCGUUGUAUUAGCUAGUUGGUGGGGUAACGGCUCACCAAGGCGACGAUACAUAGCCGACCUGGGAGGGGGGUCGGCCACACUGGGACUGGGACACGGCCCAGACUACUACGGGAGGCAGCCGUAGGGAAUCUUCGGCAAUGGACGGAAGUCUGACCGAGCAACGCCGCGUGAGUGAAGAAGGUUUUCGGAUCGUAAAGCUCUGUUGUAAGGGAAGAACGAGUGUGAGAGUGGAAAGUUCACACUGUGACGGUAUCUUACCAGAAAGGGACGGCUAACUACGUG